Molecule: ribosomal RNA, 253 nt
Filed under: uncultured bacterium
Lineage: Bacteria
Description: partial 16S ribosomal RNA
Rfam family: Bacterial small subunit ribosomal RNA
Source: RNAcentral
UACGUAGGGUGCAAGCGUUGUCCAGAAUUACUGGGCGUAAAGAGCUCGUAGGUGGUUUGUCGCGUUGUUCGUGAAAACUCACAGCUCAACUGUGGGCGUGCGGGCGAUACGGGCAGACUGGAGUACUGUAGGGGAGACUGGAAUUCCUGGUGUAGCGGUGAAAUGCGCAGAUAUCAGGAGGAACACCGGUGGCGAAGGCGGGUCUCUGGGCCGAUACUGACGCUGAGGAGCGAAAGCGUGGGGAGCGAACAGG